GGAACGGCAGACGGGUGAGUAACGCGUGGGAACGUACCUUUUGGUNCGGAAUAANUCAGGGAAACUUGUGCUAAUACCGUAUGUGCCCUUCGGGGGAAAGAUUUAUCGGCAAAGGAUCGGCCCGCGUUGGAUUAGCUGGUUGGUGAGGUAAAGGCUCACCAAGGCGACGAUCCAUAGCUGGUCUGAGAGGAUGAUCAGCCNCACUGGGACUGAGACACGGCCCAGACUCCUACGGGAGGCAGCAGUGGGGAAUAUUGGACAAUGGGCGCAAGCCUGAUCCAGCCAUGCCGAUGAGUGAUGAAGGCCCUAGGGUUGUAAAGCUCUUUCACCGCGUCGGAUAUUCGGAA
This 347-nucleotide ribosomal RNA is filed under the name uncultured gold mine bacterium D16. RNAcentral's name for it is "bacterial SSU rRNA". It matches the Rfam family "Bacterial small subunit ribosomal RNA", at positions 92 to 457 of the family's 1533-position model. The record is from RNAcentral.